CAGUCGCCGCGGUAAUACGAAGGGUGCAAGCGUUACUCGGAAUUACUGGGCGUAAAGCGUGCGUAGGUGGUGGUUUAAGUCCGUUGUGAAAGCCCUGGGCUCAACCUGGGAAUUGCAGUGGAUACUGGGUCACUAGAGUGUGGUAGAGGAUAGUGGAAUUUCCGGUGUAGCAGUGAAAUGCGUAGAGAUCGGAAGAAACAUCUGUGGCGAAGGCGACUAUCUGGGCCAACACUGACACUGAGGCACGAAAGCGUGGGGAGCAAACAGGAUUAGAUACCCGCGUAGUCCCUGUCUCUUAUAC
RNAcentral lists this ribosomal RNA (301 nucleotides) under uncultured bacterium. RNAcentral describes it as "partial 16S ribosomal RNA". It matches the Rfam family "Bacterial small subunit ribosomal RNA", at positions 509 to 807 of the family's 1533-position model. The record is from RNAcentral.